CUGGCGCUCAUUAUUUGUAGACAAGCACGAACUGCGUGAACGUUGAUCAGUCGUCGCUAUAAUCCGCGCGACAGUAUUUUCGUGGAAGUGAUCCUCAAAUUUCGGAAUAUUUCAUUUGUUGUAGUGUUUCUCGAAUUCUGGAAUAUCCCUAGGACGAGGAAUGGAAUAUACAAACAAAGGCUUUGUUAUCGUUCUGCUCUGCAUGAAAUGUUUUCUCAUUCGAGCGACUGUCGGUAAAGCGAAGGAAGAACGCCAGGACAUUUACACAUCAACUGUGCUGAUAGACAAGUUAUUUGGCUUCGACAGGACUGUUGGAAAAACCCUACAGUUGCUCUCAACCCGUGAUGAACAAGUUGAAAGCUAUUUGCUGUCCUACAACUGGCUGGUUGCCGACCUCAGAAGCAGGAGAAAUGAUGUCCCUCGUUCUGCAGUAACUGGUCACACGCUCCACGUUUAUACUCUGAUUAAAAGGAUGGUCAUUCAUUAUCCGAGUAUACGCGCCAUCUUUAAUUCCAUCCUUGAGAAUGACGAUGGCGGUUGCGAAGACAGAGUUAACGUCUGCAGUUUCAUGAAACUCCAGUCUUUUUGCGA
Macrobrachium nipponense is the source of this 591-nucleotide long non-coding RNA. RefSeq lists it as uncharacterized. Lineage: Eukaryota; Metazoa; Arthropoda; Malacostraca; Decapoda; Palaemonidae. The record is from RefSeq and is a predicted model, not a curated record. The transcript is spliced from 4 exons.